Apus apus (common swift) is the source of this 4971-nucleotide long non-coding RNA. RefSeq lists it as uncharacterized. The transcript has 3 exons. The record is from RefSeq and is a predicted model, not a curated record. Lineage: Eukaryota; Metazoa; Chordata; Aves; Apodiformes; Apodidae.
GGCGGGGGAGGCCGCCAUGGCGGCCGCGGCGGCGGGGCCGCGGGUCUCGGCGUGGCCCGGGUGGGAGCGGCCGGCAGCGGCCUCCUGCCGCCACCUCCUGGGGGUGGGGCGGUCCCCCGGCCUCCCGCGUAGCCGGGAGAGUGCUGGAGUAAGGGAGCGCGCCCUGGAGAAGUAGAAAGGCAGGCAGGGUCUGAGUGAAAAAAGAUAGCUGAAAACCUGGAGCUUGGCAGUGGAGUGCCGUGCCUUCCUGACAUGGCCCCGCACGGCGUGGGACGGGGCGCAGCUGUGGGCUGGCAGGUGCCAACGCUGUUCCACACAUGGCAGUUCCCUGGCGUAUUCAGGCCCCACAAGGCGGACCUGAUGCAGGAGCUGAGCUCAUCGAGCUGCUCAGUCCCUCCCAGGGGCAGCGGUGGUGGGGACACAGGGACUGGCUCCCUGCAAACCCGUGCCUACUAAUGUGGGGGCCUUCCCAUGGAAAGCGAACAUGUGCUGCUGGUUUCGCUGGUAUCCCGGAGUAAUCAAGCACUGGAAGAGAAAAAGUCCGAAGUGAAUGUACCUCAGUCACUUUGGUGUGCUUCUGAUAGACCAGUGUCUCACCUGAGCUCCUGAGUAAGGCCUUUUGCACAGUCAAGGAACAAAAGCGAUUAUUUCAAGGAUAUCACUCGCUCUGCCUGUCUUGGGGCAGAGUGGAUGACGCUCGAGCUGCCUGCCUGGUUUUCUUAGGCAGAAAGGCAAUUUAUGUAGUUGAUUUAGAUUAGAGGCAAACCAUGGUCUUUGCUGACACGUCAACUUAAAAGUAUCCAUAAGUCCUACCUUUCUUACAGCAAAGGUAUCCCUAGAGAACAGGGGUGUAGGCUAUAAAAUGUGUUCGGGUAUAAAACAGGAUGCCUGCCUGUUCACCCAGCAUGGGAACUCCUUCAAGAUCUUUCUCCAGCUUCAUCCUGUCCAUGGGAAGCCACCACAGACCUCUAGUACUUACUUCUGUUUGAAAAAGCUCAACUUUACUUUGCUGCAUCUAUAAGGGAACAAGGGACAUUGGAAACUAAUACCCUUAUGUACACUUUUUCAUGCCACCAAGAAGCACUUGACUGCCAGGAAAUCCAGUAUCUGAGACAGUUACUUAAACAGGAGCUAGAGGAGGCUAAAGAUGCCUGCAUAUGGUUAGUUUGGGCUUAUUAUCAUCCUUGAAAGUUUGUUGAAAACUGGACAGUGUAACAAGCCAACCAAAUGAACUGCCAGCUUCAUAGGUACUUCAGUGAGGACCUCUCAAUUACAAAAUAUACUUUGGUUUCCUUGGAGAGGGAACAGCACAUCCAGUCAGUAGACAGAAAACCAUCAGAGCCCAAAAUCCUCUGGAGACUGUUUUCUAGUAAUCUGAAAUGUUCCUGGCUCAUAGUCACCAACUUGUAAGUUAACUCCCCCUAAGCAAGUAAAAAGGGUCACUAAGCUUGGGAUUCUGAUGUUCUUUGAAGGGACAGGCAUACAGAAAUUAGGCAUUGUGAUAAGAAUCUAAGUUUGGGUUUGAAUCUGGCCUUUAAUCCUUUGCAAAAGCUGGUGUCUAGUGGAAAUAAUUCAGGCAAGCACUGUGUCAGUCUACUUCGCUCUCAUCUUUGUAGCUACCUUUGAUCCUUGGAUAUACAAUGACCAGCAAGAAAACAUUGCCUCUAAGGCUUCCCCACAUAAAAUGUAUGAAUAUAAUUGUGGUAGCAAAUUCUGUGUUUGACAGUUCGUUAUCUAAACUGCUUUCCAGCCAUUCAGAAGCGCAGUGCUGUAAGUAAAUGAAAUUUGUGGUCACCAAAGGAUUUAAUGACUACAUUUUCUGCACUGGAUAUGACUUCUCUACCUCUGACAGGUUUUGAACAUUCCCAUGUUGAAAGAAGUGUGCUGUUAUCACACUUCUGUGGCAAUAUUCAGAGUAACUCUACUAAAUAAAUAAAAAAGCUGCUGACAUUUCCAGUUCCAGAGUUUGCAGACUUGAAAUCAUAAGGCCUUUAAAAAGAAUUAGAUCCCGUCUCUUCAGGAGUGACUGAAAUAUUCUUUCAGGCACCUUUCAGGCAAUUUAUAUUUCAUUUCAUGGCAGGAGUUAGGGGAGUCCAAACUACGAAGUAAAACUCUGAUGUGAGGAAACCAUUUCCUCUGAAAUAUGCAGUGGCUUCUAUAUAUAAGGUGUCUUCUAUGUAAGGCACGACACCUGUAGGUUCUUAAUUUUAAAAACACAAAAUAAGGAGUAGUCUUUAGUCAUACGUGAAAUCAGUACUUUAACUGAAAAAGUUCCUGUUGCCAUAUUAUAGUGAUGCUCUCUAUCAUCUCUAUGAUCUGUAGAUACAAAACACUUAAUAGGAACUAAAUAAUAGAAAUAUAAAAAAUAUGAAAAUAGGCAUAUAUAUUCUGUGGAUUAAUAUAAAAAUGCAUUUUAACAUCAAUAAUCUUUAAAUAUACAGAGAUUUUUAUGUUAAUAAAGUAAUACAAAUCUAAUUCCCUUAUUUAUUCAUGCAUCAGAAGUACAGAGUGCUAACAGCCCUUUUGGCUUAUAAAAACUUAAGUUCUUCAGAGUACUAUAGAUGUUUUCAUAUACAAUAACUCCAAAAGUUCAGAGGUUUAGCUUGUGCUUGGUUCGCAGUAGUCUUAUCUAACUCAGUUUAAUGACCUUUGAUGUCUAGAAAGAAUGAGUUGUAUUUUUUCACAUUUUUAUGGUUUCAUGUACUCACAUGGGAGCUGAAUGUUACUAGCCAAGACAGAGCUCUCAAUCCUUACUGACAUUUUUGAGAUUUUAUUUCUGCUGGCUGCUCUCCAAAGCAAUUGUACUCAUAAACAAUCUUUGUCAAUGUGUAAAGCUACAAUUUUUAAGUAUUAAAGAUUUUUCUUUGAAAGAUGACAUUUCCUUAAAUGUCCAUAGAUCUCUUUUUUACUUAGCUUUCUCCCUUUAAUUUUUUAAUAGAAAAAGUAGUUGUACAAGAGAAUAGAACUUUUGGAGACAUUCAUCUUUUUGCUGAACCUAUCCAACCUAUCAGUCCAUGUUUAUAUCAUACAGAAAAUUUUUUUUUUUUGUUUUAUUUGCAUGUUUGUUUUUUAGUUUUUUUUGUUUUAAGUGAGUUACUUUUUUUGUAAACUGCCAGGUUAGUCUAAGACAUGAAUUUUUUCCAUCUGUCCUUCUAUCUCUUCAUCUUUUUAUUUAGGAAAAUUAAUUUGCCAUUGUAAUUGGAUGUAAGCAUUCAUUUCUAUUUGUAGGUUUUCUGCUGAUAUUAAAUGUGAUUCUGUUUUUGCAUAGUGAAUGUAAUCCACCAGUUCCUGACUUGAGGCCCCUAGUGUCUCCCAGAAAAAAACAUGUAAGCAUUACAGACCUCAGAUGUAUCUGAGUGGAUGAUCUGGAGAUGAUGAAAUCUGCCUUUGCUCUGUGUAGAAUGGUCUAAUGAUAUUCUUCCUGAUACUCCUUGUCUACUCUAUAGUGAGUUUUUUUCAGGAGGCAUCAAUAUGGUUUUAUUUAAUGUCACAAAAAUAAUCCAGACCUGAAGACUCACUCUCCUUCUGUCCUUCACAAAUAGCAAAUGUCUGUCAAUUGCUGAGCCUCUGAAAGCUGAGGAACUUCUGCCUUUCCACAUAACUACACCUACUAGUGCUUCAACCAAUCAGCAGGUCAGCUUCAUAUUACUCUUAUUUGACUGUGCCUCAAAAAAGAUCAAGUUUUAUAUGAAUGUUAAAUCCUUUAUUUUUUACUGUUGACUCCUUCAUAGUUAAUUUAAUCGAACUGAGCCAUUGCCACUUGAAAACUGAGGCCUAUAAAAGCUCUCAGAGCAGGUGGUCUUUAAGAUCUGAGCAUUUUCCUCUGGUGUUGAGCCCACAAAAAAUUAAUAAUGAAUUUGCUGUGAACAUUUAAUUACUUUGUGUGACCAUAGUAUUUCUAUACACCAGACCUAAGCUAUGGGACUGUGUAUCUCACCUACUCUCUGUUGCUGCAGGAAGAAGAUAGGUGACAUAGCUGGAGAAAAGGGCUCUAUGUGGCCCUGCUUGAGCACUGGGCUUGAACCAGAUGACCUCCAUGAUCAAGCUCAACCAUCCCAUGAUUCUAUUAAAGGCUUUUGGCAGAGUGUUUGAAGUAUUUGUAGCUGUUGCAUGUGUAUCAUUAAGCCUGAGAUUGCAAGUCAUAGAAUUGAGUGUUGCUUUUUUGUACUGACAUAGCAGUUGUUUAACAGGUUUUCUUGAAAGCCAAGGUCAGAGUAAGUUGUUGCAGUCAAAACUGAAAUCAAAACAGUCUCCUUGGGUUUUAUUAUUGUUUAAAUAUAGAGACAUUAGCUGUGGUGGAUAUUUAACAGCAUACAUCACUCUUCUGAAGUCACCCUAUCCUAAGUCUAUAUUGUGUAUCUCUAAAUGGCCUUGUGUUUUAAAUAAUAAAAUGGGUCAGUUUUGUAAUACAAGGUGCUCAUGUUUUGGAACCUCAAUAGCUUUUACUAAUGCAGGGACAGCUUGUUGUUUACUUGCUCAUUAGCUUGUACUAAUGCGGGGGCAGGAUUGCCCCACUUUGCCAAUGGCAGCAACAUUAAGCUUAGCCCCUGCUUGUGUCUAUAGGAAGGAUGACUGGGAAAGGGCUCAGGGUCUAAUUAAUACCUCCUCUUCUUCCCAAAAUAGGGUGAAGCAGGGAAGGAAAGACAUAGCUCAUAGCUCUGCCCCUAUGACACCAACCAGCAUAUUUUCAUCUUCCAGAAGUCUUCUUAGCGCAGUCAGCAAGUUCUGUGUCAUUCUGGUCUGUGCGAGCAAACGAUUAUGGGCAGAGAGCCACACCUGGAUUUGUGCCUGCACAUAGGAUACGGAGCUCUGCGGCUUCUCUUCCCAUUAAAUUGAACCAGUCAGUACUUUUGUGGAUAUAUGUGGAACAACCACCUACUUGAAUGGCAAAGAAGAAAAUGAAUAGUAUUAAAAUGUACUCUCAUACAAGCCUUCUGUAUUUUUCAUUAAAAGCCUGACUAGUAAAAUUGA